Molecule: long non-coding RNA, 850 nt
Organism: Sapajus apella (tufted capuchin)
Lineage: Eukaryota; Metazoa; Chordata; Mammalia; Primates; Cebidae
Exons: 2
Source: RefSeq, a predicted model, not a curated record
UAAGCCAUGAUCAUCCCAUUGCACUCCAGCCUGGGUGACAGAGUGAGACUGUCUCAAAAACAACAAAAACAAAACAUUAUUGUACAUAACAUUGAAAAUUUGGCUUUAAGGGCAAAGUAGUGCCAAGAAAGAGGUUCGAAACUAAGUGUUGAGCACUCACUGAGUUCCUGGACCCGCUCUCUCCUUUUAUAAGGCCCCAUGUGGGUCUCAUACAGGCAUUAGAAACAACCCCAAGUUACUAUUGCUGUUUAACAACCUCAAAACUGAAGAGCUUAAAACAACAGUAAUUGUUUCAUAUCACAGUUCCUGUGGGUCAGGAUUCGGGAAAGGCUCAGACUUGACAGUUGUAGCUCUGUGUCCUGCACUUGUUGUCAGCUGGAAUAGCAGGAGGCUGGCUGGCCAGGCAUCUCCCACUGUGUGUGGUUACAGGGUCUCAGAUGGCCUCUGUGUGAGCUAGUUUGGGCUUCCUCACCACAUGGGUAGCUUCAGAGUGGUAGUUUUUUACGUGGUGGCUCAGGGCCACCAGCUAGUUGUUCCAACAAACCAGCCAUAAGCAGCACUGCCUUUUAUGACCUAGCCUUGGAAGUCAUCCCAGCAUCACUUUUGUCACAUUAUUCAGUCACCUCUCCAUCUGAAGAAUGGCACAGAUUUUGCUGACAUUUAAAAUUGCCACUUCCCACCUCAAGAAACCCGUCUGGUGUGGGAGGCAAGACUAAUCCAGACGAUGGCACCAAGACUACCAAAGAGAUGAAGAGGAAGAGUCCCGUUAGAGAACACCUUCUGGCCAUCCUCAUUACUGGUCACAGAAAAGAAAAUGACUUGAGAAUGUAGCCAGCAGCUAGGCUGAAAA